This is a long non-coding RNA of Camelus dromedarius (Arabian camel), 605 nucleotides long. RefSeq lists it as uncharacterized. Lineage: Eukaryota; Metazoa; Chordata; Mammalia; Artiodactyla; Camelidae. The transcript is spliced from 4 exons. The record is from RefSeq and is a predicted model, not a curated record.
UGGCUACUUCCCCGGAAAUGAUCGCAGAGGGUGCACAGGUGCAGAGAUCAAGACCCUUAAGUUAAUGCUAGUGGAUGACGGAAAGAUGCUAUUUUUGUUUUCUUUCUAACAUUUAGGAGCAAAAUACACACCUCUGAUUUUUUCCUAUUCACUACCCAACACCAGAGAUGACCAAAAAUGAGUAUGUGUUCCAAGACAAUGAGGAUCAGCUGAGCCUGCAUUGCAGGAUGGAAAGUUCCCACUAUGCUGUUUUUGGCUAAUGAUAUUAGCACUUAAUGCAAAGAUUUACAUACUUCACUGUUACAGAAUCACUUGGAAUAUUUGUAAGGAUGCAGACACCCACUUCUCCAUAUCUCCUAACCCUGAGAUUUGGCUUUACAGGAUCUAAGUUACAAAAUCAGUAUAGUUAAAGGACCCCAGGUGAUUCUGAUAGAGGUGAUGUGCUGACCACACCUCAAGAACACUGAUAUAAGGACAUGCAGACACACGGUCCACAGGCACAAGAAUGCUUCUGGAAAGUGAUCUAUGUCAUAACUACUAGGAUUGUUGUUUAGGGUGCAAGCUGGCCAUACCAGAAAGACCAUGUGAUUUAAGUCAUAUGGUAU